CGAGUGGCGGACGGGUGAGUAACACGUAGGUAACCUGCCCAGAAGCGGGGGACAACAUUUGGAAACAGAUGCUAAUACCGCAUAACAGCGUUGUUCGCAUGAACAACGCUUAAAAGAUGGCUUCUCGCUAUCACUUCUGGAUGGACCUGCGGUGCAUUAGCUUGUUGGUGGGGUAACGGCCUACCAAGGCGAUGAUGCAUAGCCGAGUUGAGAGACUGAUCGGCCACAAUGGGACUGAGACACGGCCCAUACUCCUACGGGAGGCAGCAGUAGGGAAUCUUCCACAAUGGGCGCAAGCCUGAUGGAGCAACACCGCGUGAGUGAAGAAGGGUUUCGGCUCGUAAAGCUCUGUUGUUAAAGAAGAACACGUAUGAGAGUAACUGUUCAUACGUUGACGGUAUUUAACCAGAAAGUCACGGCUAACUACGUGCCAGCAGCCGCGGUAAUACGUAGGUGGCAAGCGUUAUCCGGAUUUAUUGGGCGUAAAGAGAGUGCAGGCGGUUUUCUAAGUCUGAUGUGAAAGCCUUCGGCUUAACCGGAGAAGUGCAUCGGAAACUGGAUAACUUGAGUGCAGAAGAGGGUAGUGGAACUCCAUGUGUAGCGGUGGAAUGCGUAGAUAUAUGGAAGAACACCAGUGGCGAAGGCGGCUACCUGGUCUGCAACUGACGCUGAGACUCGAAAGCAUGGGUAGCGAACAGGAUUAGAUACCCUGGUAGUCCAUGCCGUAAACG
This 731-nucleotide ribosomal RNA is filed under the name uncultured bacterium. RNAcentral describes it as "bacterial SSU rRNA". It matches the Rfam family "Bacterial small subunit ribosomal RNA", at positions 92 to 808 of the family's 1533-position model. The record is from RNAcentral.